GAUGAAGAACGUAGCGAAAUGCGAUAAGUAAUGUGAAUUGCAGAAUUCAGUGAAUCAUCGAAUCUUUGAACGCACAUUGCGCCCGCCAGUAUUCUGGCGGGCAUGCCUGUUCGAGCGUCAUUUCAACCCUCAGGCCCCGCCUGGCGUUGGGGAUCGGCGCGGCCCUCUCCGGGCUGCCGGCCCCGAAAACUAGUGGCGGUCUCGCUGUAGUCCUCCUCUGCGCAGUAGCAACGCUCGCACUGGAACUCGGCGCGGCCACGCCGUAAAACACCCCCCUUCUGAAAGUUGACCUCGGAUCAGGUAGGAAUACCCGCUGAACUUAAGCAUAUCAAUAAGCGGAGGA
Molecule: unclassified non-coding RNA, 343 nt
Filed under: soil metagenome
Description: partial contains 5.8S ribosomal RNA, internal transcribed spacer 2, and large subunit ribosomal RNA
Rfam family: 5.8S ribosomal RNA (bases 1-120)
Source: RNAcentral